CCUACGGGAGGCAGCAGUAAGGAAUAUUGGUCAAUGGACGCAAGUCUGAACCAGCCAUGCCGCGUGAAGGAUUAAGGCCCUCUGGGUUGUAAACUUCUUUUAUAGGGGACGAAAAAAGGGCAUUCUUGCUCACUUGACGGUACCCUAGGAAUAAGCACCGGCUAACUCCGUGCCAGCAGCCGCGGUAAUACGGAGGGUGCAAGCGUUAUCCGGAUUUACUGGGUUUAAAGGGUGCGUAGGUGGGUUGGUAAGUCAGCGGUGAAAUCUUCGAGCUUAACUCGGAAACUGCCAUUGAUACUAUCAAUCUUGAAUCAUCUAGAGGUAAGCGGAAUAUGUCAUGUAGCGGUGAAAUGCUUAGAUAUGACAUAGAACACCAAUUGCGAAGGCAGCUUACUAUGGAUGUAUUGACACUGAGGCACGAAAGCGUGGGGAUCAAACAGGAUUAGAUACCCUGGUAGUCCACGACCUAACGAUAGAUACUACGACAUUAGUGUAUAUACUAUAAGUAGUNUGUAGCGAAGACGAUAAGUAUACCACCGACGGAAGGUAACGUACCGCGAGUUAGUAAACGUUAAAGGUUAAAGUUAGUUACGGCGNGAGACGAGCGACGGACGACGACGAGGGAGGAGG
This 630-nucleotide ribosomal RNA is filed under the name uncultured bacterium. RNAcentral's name for it is "bacterial SSU rRNA". The stretch from base 1 to 538 matches the Rfam family "Bacterial small subunit ribosomal RNA", at positions 338 to 873 of the family's 1533-position model. The record is from RNAcentral.